UUUACAGCAGAAUGUAAGUUCUGCAUGUGAAGUAUUUAAGUCAUGUCUUGUUUUUGUGUCGUUACUGGCAUUCUGUGUGACCACGUCUUGAAGUGAAAUCGUGGAGAAAAGCAUCGUCUGCCAAGCUGUAGAGACGGCGUUAAUCGCACAUAAUGUGUGACAAGGCCAAGGGUUGUAGAGAGCUCUCACAGCACUGGGGUUCUUUUCAGUAAGGCUGCAGGCUGUGGGCCGAAGGAUGAGAGAAAUAAGCACCUGCCUUGGAUUUUCAUACAGAUAUGGAAUGAAGGGGCAUUUCAUAGCGAAUGGAUGAAGAGAAGAGACCUCCAUCCUGUGACCACUUCGCUUCCUGACCUCUGGUGGCAGCUGCAGGCAUGAAGCACUAACAGGAACACGGGAU
Molecule: non-coding RNA, 397 nt
Organism: Meleagris gallopavo (turkey)
Lineage: Eukaryota; Metazoa; Chordata; Aves; Galliformes; Phasianidae
Source: RefSeq, a predicted model, not a curated record